This 201-nucleotide long non-coding RNA is filed under the name Lupinus angustifolius (narrow-leaved blue lupine). RNAcentral describes it as "long non-coding RNA (LANG_LNC000082)". The record is from RNAcentral. Lineage: Eukaryota; Viridiplantae; Streptophyta; Magnoliopsida; Fabales; Fabaceae.
UCUACAAAUGGGGACCAUAACCGAUAAAAGUAACCUCGUAGUGGUUACUACUUUAGUUGCAAUAAUUCUGAUUCAGUCCCUUCAUCAAAUCAGAAAUUGCCCGAAGGUAUCUACACUUAUAUUAUUUCAUGACAUAUAUGCCCUUAGCCACCAGAUUAAAUUAAUGAAGAUCAUUUUAUAUUUUGGCUAAUUAAAUAAUGG